This is a non-coding RNA of Lepisosteus oculatus (spotted gar), 1959 nucleotides long. The record is from RefSeq and is a predicted model, not a curated record. Lineage: Eukaryota; Metazoa; Chordata; Actinopteri; Semionotiformes; Lepisosteidae.
UCCCUCUCUGCCUUUCAUUGUUGAGGUUGACGCCUCUGCCCAUGGGGUUGGUUCAGUCCUCUCCCAGCGCCACGAAGAGGAGCGCGUUCCACAUCCCUGUGCCUUCUUUUCUAAGAAACUCUCUCCUGCUGAGGUUAACUAUGACGUGGGUAAUCGUGAACUCACCACCCCUUUGUCAUUAUCAUGGACAUAAGAAACUGUCCUAUAUUCUAUCUGCCAAGCGCCUCAACUCGCGUCAGGCCCAUUGGUCACUUUUCUUCUCUCGUUUCAAUUUUGUCAUCACCUAAAUGCCUUACUCCAAGAAUGGGAGGGCUUAUGCACUCUCUCGGCUCCAUGACCCCCCAGACCUAGACUACACACCUGAACCAAUCAUCUCAUCCAACAGAAUCGUGGCGGCGAUUCACUGCUCUAUUGAGGAUCAGAUCAGACUUGCCCUCAACGGAACUACAGUUCCUCUGCGCUGUCCCCCGGAUAAGCUUUUUGUGGUGGAUCGCUUGCGUUCAUGCUGUCUUGCAGUGGGGUCAUGACUCCCGGUUUGCGGGUCAUCCUGGCAACAGUUCACUUCAUUAUGGAUCUUCCUAACAGUCAAGGCCAUACAUCAUGGUGGUUUCCGAUCGAUUUUCCAAAAUGGCGCAUUUUGUCCUCCUCCCCGCACUGCCCACGGCCCGGGAAAUGGCAUCACCGUUUCUGCAGAAGGUUUUCAGGAUACAUGGUCUGCCCAGGGAUGUGGUCUCUGAGAGGGGCCCUCAAUUUGCCUCUGCCUUUUGGAAGGCUUUCUGUCAAGCACUUGGGACCCAUGUAUCCUUGACUUCUGGAAAUCACCCUGAGGCCAAUGGACAGGUGGAAAUGACUAACCAAAUCCUCCUUACUUUUCUGAGAACAUUCACCUCCUCUUCACAGGAUGACUGGUCAUCACUGCUUCCCUGGGCAGAGUAUGCCCAUAACUCCCUUACCUCCUCCUCCACAGGUCUCUCUCCCUUCCUCUGUUCAUUAGGAUAUCAACCCCUCUCAUCCCCGACACCCCUCCGGAUAUGGCUGUGCCUUCAGUGCAACAAUUCAUUUCCAAGCUGCGGAGGUCCUGGAGAAUGGCUAGGACAGCUCUCACCAAGUCGUCCCAGCGCCAGGCCAGAUUCGCUAACCUGCAUCGCCGACCAGCCCCCCAUUUUCAGAGAGGACAGUUAGUCUGGUUAUCCACGAGGAACCUACCUCUAUGCCUGCCAUCCAAGAAGCUCUGUCCUAGCCCUACCACCGUUCGCCCCUUGCGGCUCCCAAACGUCGCCCCUCACCCCCGCGUCUUAUUCAGGAGCACCUGGUCUAUACGGUCCUCAAGCUCCUCGACUCCAGAUGGCACCAUGGUACCAUGAGCCAGGGGUAAGUUAGCUCCUCGGUGGGGGCCAGAAUUACAUGUGGUAGUGGGACCCGUAACAGACCAGAGUCCGGUAUACAGGAUUAGGCCUGAGGGCAGGGAAGGUCCGGAGAGGACACUACAUUGCAAUAACCUGCGUCUCUGCAACAUCCCUCAGUUAGAGGACAGUCAGGACCAAGAGGAGUCAGUGUCAGAGGAAAUCACAAUGCAGGUAACAGAAGUGCAAAGAGGAGCUGAGUCUCCGACCAGAGGGUUUCCACUGUUGUGGACGUUUGCACCCUGAGUAGCUUCUCCGCUUGAGGUAACUUGCAGCGAACCACAAGAGGGAUGGAAUGGGCCACCACCAGAGACCAGUACCCUCCCCGAGCCUGAGAGGACUGUUGAAGAAGAGGGGAGGGUAGGGGAACUCGAGGCGACAGAGCGUGAGGGUAUGCUGCGCAGAUCAACCAGAUCCACAAGAAGGGUUCAGCCUGCGAGAGGAGCACUGCCGGAGCUUAUCGUUGGCAAACUGAAGACCAGGCCGACCUCUUCUGUGACUCUUGAACACUGAAUCUCAAGAUUGUGAAUUCAAGCUCCACGCUGGCGGGAAAUUC